This 21267-nucleotide long non-coding RNA is filed under the name Cucumis sativus (cucumber). RNAcentral's name for it is "long non-coding RNA (CSAT_LNC000616)". The record is from RNAcentral. Lineage: Eukaryota; Viridiplantae; Streptophyta; Magnoliopsida; Cucurbitales; Cucurbitaceae.
CCUCUCAUAGGAUGGGUAUUGGAGGUUAAGUUGUCUUGGAUUUGCCAUCAGGGCAUAGGAAAGAAGGUGAGGAAAAAGUUGCGGCGUCUUCUCUGGUGUGCUACGAUUUACUUCAUUUGGCAUGAGCGUAAUCAUCGUCUUCAUGGAGGUCAAGUUCGUGAGGCUAUGAUUAUUUUCCAGCUCAUUCGAUUGUGCAUUCGGGCUCGUGCUGCUUCUUGAUCGGAAGAUGUUCAUGGUUUUAUUUAGUGUGCUUUUAUUUUCUGCUUGUCCCCGAGCUGUGGGGUUUUAUUUGUCAUUGUUAUUUCUUUGGUUUAGCUUAUUUUUCUUCUCUUAUUCCGUUUGAUCUGGAUAGUGUCGUUUUCUAGACUUCUAAUUUUUAUUUUGUCUGCGAUGAUAUUUCAUAUUCUUAAUUGGUUUUUUGUUUUUGUGCUUGUCCCCGGGCCGUGGGAUUUUAUCGUUAUCUUUAGGAUGUCGUUUGGUUUUUACUUAUCUUCUCAGUGUGAGCAUUUUCCGCUUUUGUGCCUUGACCUCAGACUAUGAGGUCCUCCUUGUGGUUCUAUAAUAUUAUCAUUACCUUUUCAAAAAAAAAAAAAAAAAAAAACUAACGAAAAGAACCAAGCAAUUGAAAUAGAAAAGUAGGAAAUGAAAUAUUGCAAGCAUAUAAAGCACAUAUCAAUAACAGAAUACCGAACGAGCGACUGUCGAUCAGGUUGAAUUUGUGUGUCAUGUAACUCAUUCGACUAAAGGUCAUUCUUCAACACCUUCCUUUUUCGAUCAUGUUUUGGACUUGUAUUAUACAUCUUGAGUUGCCACACCAUGGCGACACUACGCCCAUUCUUACUUUUCUCAUUGUUUCGGUUGACAUCCAAAUAAUGUUUUAGUUUUCAGACACAUUUACCUUCUUUUUCUUUUUCUUCGCCAUCUUCAAUUUAAAUUAAUGUUAGCUCAUUUAAAUGAAAUAAACUCAAAAAGAAAAAAAAUCAACAAGAAUAAAGAUGAAUUUGGACGAGUGGACAAGUAACUUUAGCUUUAAGCAUCAAAAUACCAACCUCUUUUCAGAAAGUAAAUAUGUGCUUUUUUCUUUCUUUUUAUUCAUUGUUUUUCUACAUUUUGAUAGAAUAAUCGAACAUUUGUUAGAGAAGAAAUCAAGAAAUAAGACGUUACGUUUCUUCUCUUUCUAAUGCGUACGUGAAGUGAACAAACCAACCAAAACAAAAUAAAACAAUCGACACCUGAUUUGGAAAUUAAGCGAGACUACCACAGCUAAAAAGGGUUAUGAGUCAACAACGAAGGAAAGUGUGGAACUUCGAGUAGACUACAAGUCAUAAUCUAUCUGGGGUUUCGAAAAGGGGUUUUAGAAGAAGAUGAUUGAAUAUUUGCGAGGAACAAGGGUCGUUUCAAUUUGGACGAAGAAAUUCUAAGGUUGGGAGAAAAAAGAUUUUUGCAUCGAAGAUAGUGUCAAAUUUGGAGUUUAAAUAGAAAGUAAUAACAAGUUAGGGUGAACUUCACGUGCGUCCUCUGCCACCGGUGAAACGAACUCGCCAGUACUACUGGCGUUUGUCUCUCUAAAUAACUCGACACAGUUCACUAGGCUAUUGCGUGUUAUUGUGAGCUCAACUUGUCGUUGAAGGAACGACUUAGAAUCGAUCUUGUGGUUGUAAAGCCGUUUCGCUCUAGCAGCCUUAAAAGCACUUGAUUGCUCCUUCAAUCAGACAAAGUGUAAUUAAAAUGUUAUAUCCAAACAAAAAUUAAAUGAAUUACCGUUAAUUGAUUUUUAAGGUAGAUGUGAUAUAAAUCACCUGAAACUGUCGAGUCAUAUAGUGGUCACAAAGAAAGUGCUAAUUUGGCACUCGAUUGACCAAUAUGGGCGGUGGGUCUAUAAAAUUCAUUUUCUAAAAAACAUACAUUACACAUAGAUUAUAUAAUAUCAAGAUACAAUCUCAAAUUUACACAUCCAAUCUCAAACUUACAUAUAAAAAUUCAUACAUUUUUAUAUAAAAACAUACAUAAUAUAUUACACAUGCAUACAUCUAUUGCAUGGAUUACACGUACAAAAUUACAUAAUAGAUUACAAAAAAUACAAUGAAAUUCAAACUACACAUGCAUACAUUUCAAACUAUACAUAUUAAAACAUACAUAAUAUAUUGCACAUUCUUACAUUUCAAACUAUAUAAGUUUCAAAACAAAAAAAUAGACAAAAUUUUAUACCAAGCAAAUCAACAAUGGAGGACGAGGGUGGAGCAUGGAGCGGUGGGUGAUGGACGAGCGACGGCGAACAAUAGCGACGGACGAGCGGUGACUCUUCUUCUUCUCCCCUCUCUUUCUCUUCUUCUUUUCUUUUCUCUUUCGCAGUCUCUGUGUUAUGUGUUUACAUAACAAAUAGGGAAAGGAAAGACCGACACAACAUGAAAACGUCGACAUUUCCAGUCUUUCUCUGACAUUUCACUAAUGGUCGUAGUAAUUAAUGUGUAGACCUUUGUCGUCGUGGUCAAUGCUGACAUGGGCAAAGGUUUAAUUAUAAAAUUCAAUUUUAACAUUUGCCAACGUACGGAUAAAUCCUCCAGACUCCGGACGGAUUCAAACCUUUGCCGACGUGGUGUGUAAGAACGUCGGCAAAAGUCCAACCAUAAAACUUACUUUAUAACUUUCUCCGAUGUCCUCUGUGUCUGCGUCGAGGAGAGUGAAAUAAAAAAUUCAAUUUUUAUUUAUCCCUAACGUGGUUUACGUUUGCGUUGGCCUUGUCACCUUAUUCCAACGUGUAUUUCACGACGUUGACGUUUCCUCUCAUUGUCGGCAUUGUUUACGACAUCAAAAUAAUCCAUUUUAUUGUAGUGAUUUCUUAGUUUUCUAUGGAUCAAUUAUUUUUUCAUAAAUAAUCUUUUUUUUGGUUUCUAUGGUAAAAAUGAUGGGUUGGAAGGCAUGAAUUGUCACAUUUAUAUUUAUUUUAUCAUUAACAUUUAAGUUUAAUCACUAACCACAUCACAACAUAAAAAUAAAUAUAAAUGUGAUAAAUUCAUAAUUCUUCCUAAACAAGAUUAAAAAACAAUUUAGUUACGACUUAUAUUUAUUACUAUUAAUCUAUCCAUGAAAUUGGAUUACCAUGACACCAAUUUUGCUAAUUUCAAUGCUUUAGGAUUUAAUGAUGGUGCAAGUUGGGCAUUUGACUCAUUAUUUGUCCCAAAAGUUUCUUGCAAGGCUUUAACCCUUAAACCCACAAUUUCUCCCUCGCGACACCUACUCCACGCUGCGACCUCUUGAACGCGACUCCUUCUGCACGCCAGUGACCAGCUCGCAACAAACAGACAGCGGCGCACCAUCGGAGCGGGUUCUGUUCUGUAAAAAGUCCUCUUCUCUCCCGUUACCAGCUACUGCAGACCUCCCCGCCGCACGCUUCCCUCUCAGCUGCCACAGUCUCUGCCACCCACGAACUCACCGCCGCUCCCUCCAUCAGGCACUUAUUUCGGUCGUGUUGUUAGCUUACUCCGAAACAGAAACUGUGGUUCAGCUCCUAACGCCCGGCGUUCGUGGUCGCGCCGCUGCUCAUUCUUAGAAGAAAAUCACAUAACCAAUUCGUUUGAACUGAUUUUAUAUCCUCCCAAAUUUAAGGGUUCGAAACAGGGGAUAGUCUGUCCAUGGCCGCAGAAUCAACGCAGUCUACGUCUUCUCAAAAGAGAAGGCUAAAGAGGAAGAAAACCCAGAAAGACCCAGAAUUCGAACGUCUCGAUUCACUCCCGUGGAACUCAUCAAUCCCUAUCGACGACACUUUAUCUGCAUUUAUUGGUUCCAAUGAUCUCGAAGGAGGUUUGUACUUGUUUGUUCGUUCUUCUGUAUGCUUUGCUUUAGAGGUUUUCGUUAUAUUUGUGUGCAUUCUAAACCAAUACUGUUGUGUCUGUGACCAUUACUUUCUGCAGUCUUCAAAUGUAUGUAUCUACAUCGUUUGUUUAUUGUUACAUGACCUGAACAGGUUUCUUCAUCUUGUCAAGUUAUUAUUCAGUUUAUAGUUUUAUGCAUUUUUUUUUAUCGGCAGUGCUGAAAAAUAAUUGGGAUGGGCAUUGAAUAUAUAUAUAUUUUUAUUGGCUUGACACAUAUUAUUGAUGCUGAACGAGAAUUUAUGUUUGUGGGGUUUUGGGGUUUUACUGUUCAAUCAAAUCCUUUAGUAAUCAGUACAAAUAUUGCAAUAUACUAUAGGAUUUCUUUCCCUUGAGGAGAUUGACGAAGCUGAGUAUGGCAUGGUGAUUCCUGAACCUGACACAAGGAAACACAAAUUGAUACCAAAAGCCAGUGGAAAUACAAGGAAAGAGGAGCAAAACAAUGCUGAUUACUGUGAGGAUGCAUCAAGAGGUAGCAAUGAUAGUAUUGAUAAGGAAGCCGCGGGGCACAAUGUUAAUACGAAAACUAGCAAAAAAGGGAAAAAGGAGAAGAAGAAAAAGAAGAAAAAAAAGGUCAUUCAUGAAGUCCCAACGGCAGAGAAAGAUGUGGCUAUAGAUAUUGGUGGCAAUGAUAAUGAUGGGAUUGAGACAGAGAUUGGAGAUGAAAUGGACGAUGAUGAUCAUUUGGAGACGGAGAAGAAGCAACAAAAGAAAGAAAAAGAAACAAAGGACCAUGGAAUUGGUUGGUAUUAUUAUCAUAUAUAAUUUUGUGGAGCAUCAUAUUCUUUGUUUUUUGUACAGCAUUUGAUCAUUAAAUAUUGUUAUUAUUAUUUAUUCAUUGAAAUUUGUUAUGUAUUAUUCAGGGAGAAAAUAUAUUUAUUUGAUAUUUGUGAUUUUGAGGUUAUAAUUUGAUCAUUUGACCUCUUUUUGGAAGAGUGACUUCAAUGAGAACAUUUUUUCUUUUGGAGGUGGGAACUACUAAUGAGGUUUCAUUGUUGGAAGAAAUGUACAAAAACGAUAGUGAACUACCAAACUACCAUAGGUAGAUUACAAAAAGACCUAAACAAAAACCAAGUGACUAAGGUAGAAAGUCUCUAAAGGAGGGGUGUACUUACAUCAGUAGAUAGACAAAGCCCAAAUUCCACAACCUUUCAAGAAAAGGUAAGCUUAUCAAUGUUGAAAAUCCAGUUGUUCCUUUAUCCCCAAAGGUUCCAAAGAAAAAUUCUAUUCUUAUAAAGCCAUAUAGUAACUUUUGUUUAUUAGAAAGGAUGUGCCAUAGAAUUAGUGCUAGAAAGUUCAUGAUAUUGUUAGCCAAUGGUAUUUAGCAUUUCAUUCCAGUAUGCCACAAAUAGACAGUGAUAACAAAGGUGGCAUUGAGUUUCUGAAUUAUCCCUCGCAUUAUUCACGAGCUUGGAGAUUAGGCUGUGUACGACAUUCAUUUUUGCAUUUCAUCAAGAGUACUAACAUGGCUAAGUUCCCAAGUUAAUGCUUUGAUUUUUGGAGUAUAAUCCCUUCCAUAUUGCCGCACAUCCUUAGAAAAGAUGGGGAAUUUAAUAGGGUGGAUGAUUUGGAGGUAGACUUGUUUUCUCCCAAGUUUGGGGAAGUUAGCAAUGAGGUUAAGUUGGCAGUUUGCAAGUUUGUUGUCGACGUAGUCAAUAAAUUAAGGUUUAUAGGAGGUUCGUCAAGUAUGUUUAAGCCUCGUGACACUGGAGGGGGAGUGGGUUUGUCGGCUUGAAUAGGGUGUAAGAGAAUGGGUGUGGUAUGUCUAUGGACUAAAUACAUAAUUGUCUCUAUUAGAGCCUAGAUGAAGAUGGUGAUGAUUGGGUUGGUUAGAUGAGGAGCUAUUGAAGCCCAAGUUUAAGGAGAAUUGCCCCAAUGUUUCAUCGAUUUGGCAAGGAGUUUAAACUAGUGUUAGGGUUUUGAGGGAGCAGUUUUCUAAAAAGCCUAUGGAGCGUGUGCCUAGGCUCAAGGCCUAGGUUUGGCACCUAGCCUUUAACAAAAUAAGGCAUGCCUUUUGUGAAGCUCCUUGCACUUUGGGGAUUUUUCAUUUUUUUUUUAAAACAUAAUAUUUUGGAGGUUUAACUAAAAAAAUCAAAUUUACAAAGUCUUAAUGCAAAAUUACUAACCAUCAUGGAUUGGCCUAGUGGUAAAAAAUCUAUCCCUUGGUAAUCGUCAAUCCCUUAAAACCACCACAUAUAUUCCAUUCUUGGUUAAACCCCUGAACUCCCAUGGCUACAUCAUUUAGUUCCCUUCUAGCUUAUAACUAUGAGAUUCCAUGCAUCUUGCUAUUUGAUCCCACUUUUCACUUACCAACCCAUACUUUAACUUUGAAGAUGAAUGGGAUUCUUGUCAAUAUUGGUUCCUCUCUUAACAAUUCUAUUAGGAUUCUUUUCUUGAAAAUCAGUAAAUCCCUACAAUAAAUGGAGGAACGUGGACAAUACUCUGAGAUAAUAUAUUGAAUGUAAAUCAACAAGAAUUCACAAGGAAAUUAACAAUACAAGAUAUUGCAAGAUAAAACAGAAAAGGAAACAAUAACAAGCUAACAAAGGAAACACAUGUUACUCCAACUCCUUUGAGAAGGCUGGCCUUUUCUUCCAAAAGCUUUUAGCAGCUUUUCACGCAAUUAUGACCUUUUUCGGCAAUCCCCAAACCAUCCUCUUAUAUCCCCUCCCAGGUGGGUCCCUUAACUGGUUCUUACCUCUCCACUAACCGCCCCAAAAGUUGUCUUUUGUGUAAUACCCAUAUUACCUCUACCAACCUUGCUCUUACGCUUAUACGUGUGAAUGAUUGGAGGUCUAACAUUACCGCUCGACUCGAAAUGCACCUUGUCUCUUGUUGGAAUGUAGGAAACUGUUUAUUCAUCAGAUAAACUGAUUCCCUUGUAGCUUCACUGUUGGAUAGUCCCUUCCAAUUUACCAACCAUUCAUUUGCCUCUAAUUCACUAUUCCACCAUACCCGUAACAUAGUUUCAAGCAACAGUUGCAGUUUGAAUUCCUCCAUCAAUGCUAGUGGUAUGUGCUGCACUUGUUGAGUUUGUCCUAACUUAAGUUUUAUUUGAGAUAUAUGGAAAACAUUAUGAAUAACUACCUCAGGAGGUAAAUCCAACCGAUAAGCCACUUCCCCAAUGGUGUAGAUCACCUUGUAAGGUCCCUAAAAUUAAGGGGCCAACUUCUCACUUUGUUUCUGUGCUAAUGAUCUUUGGCAGUAGGGUUCUAGUUUGAAGUAGACUUCAUCCCCAACAUUAAAUUUCAACUCUCUUCGGUGUAAGUCAAUCUGCUUCUUCAUUCUAUCUUGUGCUAGCACCAAAUUUUCUUUCAAGGCAUUGAUAACCGAGUCUCUAUCUUCCAACAACUGUUUCACAUUGCUAUUCAUAGGUUCCCUAUCUCCAUAUGAAAUCAAUGGAGGCGACAAUCUACUAAACACAAUCUGCAAUGGGGUAGUCUUUGAAGAUGGAUGAAAUGUUGUGUUGUACUGGAGUUUCGCCCAAGGUAUACAUUUAUUCCAUUUGGUUGGCUGUUCAUUGCAAACACAUCGGAGAUACGUUUCUAGACAUUGAUUGUCCCUCUCGGCUUGGCCAUCGCUGUGCGGAUGGAAGGCAAUGCUCUUUUUGAGGAUUGUUCCCAUGGUCGAAAACAAUUCCUUCCAAAAAUUACUCAGGAAUAUCUUGUCAUGAUCUGCUAUUGGUAAUUUUGGAAUUCCAUGUUUGCUCACUACUCUCUCAAUAAAGAUCUUUGCUACUUGCUUGGCUGUGAAUGGAUGUCUGAGAGUGAUGAAAUGCGCAAACUUGCGAAGUUUUUCCACAAUAGCAAUGAUAGAAUUAAACACACCCGCUUUUGGCAAACCUUUUAUAAAAUCCAUUGUCCAAUCUUCAAGGAUUAAGUUUAGAAGUGGCAGCGGCUAUAAGAGGUCGAUUGGUGACAGUGAGUUUGUUUUAUUCCUCUGACAAAUCUCACAUUGCUCCACAUACUUCUUUACGCCAUUUUUCAUACCUAUCAAAUGCAAUUCCCUAUUCAUUCUUUUGUAUGUUCGAAGAAAGCUGGAAUGACCUCCCAAUGUGAAACCAUGAAACAUGUGCAACAGGGAUGGUGUUAAAGAUGACGACUUUGAUAAAACUAACCUCCCUUUGUAUAAUAACCGAUUAUUGACCCAUUGAUUGAUUAAGUUUCCCCUUCGGAUUUUCCUUUAAUAUGUUGACUAUUCGUUGCAAUUCCUUUUCCUUCUUGACUUUGUUUAAGACUACCACCAUAUCCACUAUUCAUGGUCGACAAUAUUGAUAUUUCCACCGGAUGAUUCACCCUUGACAGGGCAUCUACGACUUUGUUUUGAAGCCUGAGCUGGUAUAGGAUUUCAAGAUCAUAACCCAACAACUUUGUCAACCAUCUUUGGAAUUGAGGUUGUACUUCCCUUUGCUCAAUGAGGAACUUCAAUGGAUCACUGUAAACUUCCUUCCUAAUAAGUAAUAGCACCAUUUUGGCACUAGUCGUUACCAUGACCAUUAACUCUCUCACAUAUAUUGAUCUUACUUGCACUUGUGGGGAUAAUUUUUUACUAUAUUACGCAAUAGGCUUAGCACUUGCUCUAAUCCAACUCUUGAAGUAUCGAUCUCUAUUAUGGAAGGCAAUGAAAAAUUCAGAAGAGCUAAGACAUGAACAAACAUCAUGACUUGUUUCAGUUGUUUGAAUGCCCUUGGUCGCUUCCUCAUUCCACUUGAACGCAUUUUUCUAUAAGAGUUUGGUAAGUGGUGCUGCAAUAUCCCCAUAUCUCUUUACAAAAUGCGUUUAGUAUCAGUUAAACCCAAACAUCCACGAACUUUGUAACAUCUUUUGGUUGGGGCCAGUUCACCAUUGCUUUAACCUUUUUCCCCUUUGCUUCCACGCCUUUGCUCGAAAUCCAAUGGCCCAAGUAUUGAAUCCUCGAGUGCCCAAUUACACACUUCUUUCUAUUAGUGAACAAUUGGUUGUCCUUAAGAAUGCUGAAAACAACCACACAAUGCUUUUCAUGCUUUGUGAUGUAUGUGUUGUACACCAUGAUUUCAUAAAAAGACAACAAUACAAAGCGUCUCAAGAAUGGUCGAAAAACCUGGUUCAUUAAAGAUCGGAAGGUGGCAUGAGCGUUUGUCAACCAAAUGGCAUAACUAGGAACUUGUAAUGUCCCUCAUGUGUGGGGAAAGCAGUCUUCUCAAUGUCGCCCUUUUCAUUCUGAUGUGAUGAUAACCAGAAUGUAGGUCUAAGUCUAAUUUUGAAACCACAACCACCCCAUGUGUAAUUCAUCAAGUAGUUCUUCGAUCACAUGUAUCAGAAAUUACUGUCACUUGAUUCAAUUUACGGUAAUCAACACAAAACCUCAUACAAUCAACUUCGGGAAGGACUGUUUAGCCGAUUGUUUACUAAUUAGGCUUCCUUCAUACAUUCUUCUGACGUCUUCGGAUGACGGCUCACCAUGUUGAUAGACCACCAAUUAUACACCAGUACAGUUGAAAGAAGAAGAAGCAAGGAAUAACCGCACGUGCCCAAGGAAAAUAGUUUUUAAUAUUGUUAGUAGAUAUUUUCAUAAUAGGGGGAGUAUAAAUAGGAGGUUGUUAAGGAGAGAGAGAGUUAGUUAGAAAGUAUCAUUUGGCUUCAGGCUAUUCCUUGAAAGAUAGGAAAGCAGAAGAGAGUUUUAUAUUUCCGAAUUAAGGAGCUCUCAAUUCGUUUCCCUUGUAUUUUCCUUAUUAUUUCUGCAAUAUUACUAAAGUACUAAAAUAAAUCUUACUUGAUCGAAGAGGAGUUUCAUCAUUUGGUAUCAAAGCACGUCGGUUCUGGGCAGGGGAAGAACAAUGGUUCACACGUGAUCGGAAGAGAGAAUGGAAGCUCACAAUCAGGAAAUGCUGUUGAUAAAAAAAAAAAGUAAAAUUCCGGUGAUCGAAGAAAGUUUAACGACGAUUAGUAUACAAAUGGAAAAGACGCAUCAAAUGUUGAUGAUGCUCAUGGACUAGAUUGCGAAGGAACGAACUACAACCAGUGAGAAAAUGGCCGAAUACAGUGCACAAGAAAUCGGAUUCAAAAAAAAUAAUGAAGGAGAGAGUUCGACAAACAGAAGAGGCGAGAACGAAGUUAAGGAAAAGAAGAAUGAGGAAGGAGCGAAUGAAAGAAACAAAUUCUUGGCUCUUCCGUGCCGAUCGGUAUUUCCAAAUUCACAAACUGAACGAUGCUGAUAAAGUGUUGGUUGCGACCAUCAGUUUUGAAGGCCCAACGCUAAACUGGUACAGGGCACAGGGCACAGGAGGAACGUGAUAAGUUUACGGGAUGGAAAAAUCUAAAAGAGAGAUUGCUUGUGCGAUUUCGAUCGUCAAGAGAAGGAUCCAUCUGCGGGCAAUUUCAAAGAAUUAAGCAACAAACCACGGUGGAGGAAUAUCGUAAUGAGUUCGAUAGAUUAAUGGUACCACUUGCUGAUUUGCAAGAUCGAGUGGUAGAGGAGACAUUUAUGAACGGUUUGUUUCCGUGGAUCAAAGCGGAGGUGGUUUUUUGUAAACCGGUCGGUUUAGCCAAGAUGAUGCACGCGGCUCAACUCGUGGAAAACUGGGAGAUUAUUCGUAGUGAGGUAAAUCUAAAUGGUUAUGCCAAAGGUAAAUAUCCUCCUUCAAACUCUUUAAAUACUAAGAGUAGUGCAGUGGUGAACAACAGUGAUAACAAAGGAAAUACCAUAUUUUCGAUGAGGGCAGUCACCUUAAGAACUACGACUGGAGAAGUUAAGAAAGAAGGACCGAAGAAGAGACUAUCUAAUGUAGAAUUUCAGGCCCGAAAAGAGAAGGGGCUCUGUUUUCGCUGUAAUGAGAAGUAUCAUGAUCAUAGAUGUAAAGGAAGGGAGCAAAGGGAAUUGAGAAUGUAUGUUGUGAAAGAAGACGAAGAAUAUGAAACCGUGGAGGAAGUUGAGGACGAGGAUAAAGAGUUGAACUGCGUUGAGAUAGACCAAGAAGAUCAGGCCAUCGUUGAACUUUCAAUAAACUCAGUGGUGGGAUUGACGAAUCUGGUAACAAUGAAGGUGAGGGGAAGGAUUAAGGAUAGAGAGGUGAUUAUUUUAAUCGACUGUGGAGCGACUCAUAAUUUCAUCUCAGACAAGGUGGUGUAGGAAUUGAGAUUACCCACGAAAGCCACUUCCCAUUAUGGGAUCAUUUUGGGCUCAGGUGCUGCUGUGAAGGGUAAAGGAGUGUGAAGAUAUAGAACUUGAACUGGAGGGAUGGAAGGUGAUAGCGAAAUUCUUACCACUUGAGUUGGGAGGAGUAGAUGGGGUGUUAGGAAUGCAAUGGUUGUAUUCACUGGGAAUGACAGAAGUGGACUGGAAAAUCUUAUCUAUGACGUUUUUUUGUCAGACUAUUGAUUUAGUGGCCUCUCCUAUUUUGUGUUGCCUUAGUUCGAGUUCAUCCACCUCUUUUUGGAAGUAUCCUUUGCUUAAUUGUGGUGUCCUCGUGAUGGUGUUCCCUAGGUUGUUUCAUACGGCUCAUUAUCCUUAUAUUAAGGUGGCUGAUGUAUGGAAUGGUGAUGCAGAAGCUGGGAUUUAUGUCUUCGUCCAAAUCGUAAUGAGCUUGAAAUUUUAGCGUGGGUUCCUCUGUCUCACCUGUUGUUCUCUGUCAGACUUCGUGCUUCUCUUGGUUCAUGGAGGUGGUCUAUCGAUCCAUCCUCAUAUUUUUCUGUGAAAUCUUUUGGAUGACUUGAUGGCCACUGUGGAUCCUCUUGCAAAGGAUCUUUAUUCUGUUAUUUGGACGGAAUUGGGAUCAUUAUCCUAUGAAAAUAAAAAAUUUCUUAUGGGAGUUUAGCUCGAGUGCUAUCAAUACUACUGAUCGUCUAUGUUGCAUACCUUAUCUCUCUCCAUCCUGGUGUGUUAUGGGUUGGAGUCAUUUCGAGUCCUUUGCUUUUUUGUUUAUGCAUUUUUUUGCCUCUUGCUUCUAGCAUAUUAGUUUGGUUGCUUUUGAUUGGUCACUAGCCAACUCUCCAACUCUAAUAGUACUGUUGACAUCUUUGCGUUUCUUUUGGUGGGUCAUUUGUUUAGUACAAAGAAGACUGUUUUCAUAAAAAAAAAGGUACUAAGAAUACUGUUUUGUUGGCCAUAUUACGUGCUUUUUUCUAGACAUUUUAGGGCAAGCCUAAUAAGCAUCUCUUUAGAGAUUUCGCUACUUGUUUAAUAGUUUCAUGGAUUUUGUUCUAUCUACAGAGUUGUAUUGGUGCAAAAUGAAGCCCCUUCGAAUUUUUAUCUUUUUUUUUUAGUUUCCAAUGGGAAAUCCUUUUUGUAAUCACCUAUUGGUGCUUGUGAUCUUCUGUUGUAUCAUUUUUUCAACAAAAUGUUUCUUCUCUUAAAAAAAUCUCCUUCAUUUAGGAUUAAUCCAUACCUGUCUGAGUUGCCUCAAAACUAUGGACAAGCUUCAAAAAAGAUGUCUAUGGAUCAAUCUCCCAAACGUUUCUUGGACGAAUGAGAGAUCUGGGAUGAAAUUUUGGUAUUUGGGGUUUCCUUAAAUGUUUAUUGAUUAAAGAAGUGUUUGAUUUACAACCUUACUUGGAUCUGUCCUUUGAGUUGUACAAUUGUGUCCUUGAGUUCUAAAACAAUAUAGUUUGAUUUGCAUAUAUUGAUAUAUUUAAUAUGAUAUUAUUUGACGAAUUGCACAUGACAUAAUUUUGAUUUGCAUUUAGAUAAAGAAAUCAGGGAUGAAGUUGAAAAGGAUGCAGUUGAUGAAACGGAAUAUUAUGCAUGGAAUGAGUUGAGACUGCAUCCUUUGCUUAUGAAAUCGAUCUACAAACUUGGGUUUAAGGAACCUACAGCAAUCCAGAAAGCGUGUAUUCCAGCUGCUGCUUACCAGGGGAAGGUUGGUUUGUCUGUUUUCUUUGUUACCCUUACGACUUGCUUGACCCUACAACAUUUAGGUGUCAAGGAAACUAGUAAAAAAUUAAUUACUAGAUCUUUGGCCAUCAUGGAUUGAACCUGUGACCUUUUAGUUAGUUAUUGAGACGAUGUCUCUUUUUUUACCAUGCCAACCCAUGAUGGUUGUUAGUUUGUCUUUCUUUUGUUGCAAGGGUGGAAAAAGGAUCAUAUUUUGCCUGCCAUUGAGUUUUGCUUAUGUGACAGGAUGUUGUGGGUGCUGCUGAGACAGGAUCUGGAAAAACACUAGCUUUUGGAUUGCCAAUUCUACAACGAUUCUUGGAUGAACGAGAGAAAUCUGGAAAGAUGUCUGAAGAAAAAGGAGUAGAUGCAAAAAAAUAUGCUCCCAAAAGUCUUCUACGGGCUUUAAUUAUUACUCCUACUAGAGAACUUGCUCUUCAGGUGAUUUCUUUAUGCCCACUCAUGGCUAGAGGCCUAAACAAGUAUGUUUGCAGUGGCUACAGGAGAUAAAACGUGCCAGGAUCAACGAUCUUAGGAUAAGAAAUAUUAGCGUUGGUAGUUAGAUUUUAAGAAAACUUCCUACCUUAAAAUAAUAUUCAAGGUCUCAAAAUGACAUUCUCAUUUCUUGUUUGUUUCUUAUUAAUACUUGCAAUGAUAUUUGGAUUAAUUGGGAUGGGUUCAUAUCCCUUCCUUGGCCUGUUUCGUAUUUGUAUUCUCCUUUCACUUAUGUUUCAUUCCAUUUAUUCAUCACUAAUAACUGAUAAGUUUGUUUCUUAUUAGAAAGAAAAAAACGACCUACUUAAGUUCCUUUUAUGUCAAGAUGUAAUUCUAUUUUAUUCUUGUUUUUUAAGCAUAAAUUUUAAGUCCACAGAUCCAUAAUGACAAAACACAAGCAAAUUAUUAACUGAACUUAUUUUAUUUGGAUUUUUGUAUGUGUUGAAUUUGGGGUUUAACUUCCUCUCCUUGAUCUUUUACUAUCAGGUUACUGAUCAUCUCAAGGCAGUCGCAGUAGGUAUAGAUAUCAGGGUGGUUCCAAUUGUUGGUGGAAUGUCCACUGAAAAGCAGGAAAGGCUUUUAAGGACGAGGCCCGAGGUUGUAGUUGGAACACCAGGACGGUUGUGGGAACUUAUGUCAGGAGGAGAAAAACAUCUUGUAGAGGUGAGCACUUCAUGUAUUGAUUAAACUUGUCCAUGUCUUCAUCCUCCAGUCAUAAAAAUUAAAAAGUCCGAUUUUCGAUUCCUCCUAACCUUUUUUGACUCCAGUCUCCACCAUGUAUUAUCUAAGCUCAUCGAUCAGGAUACUUAUUUUGCAAACACCCUUCAUCAAUACGUGCCUUUACCUCCAUAAUGUUGUGGUUUAUGUUUUCCGUAUUUUGUUUUCCUGUGAAAUUAUCUCAUUUAUUCCCUCUUCUAAUUAGCCUUUAAUAUGAUCAGCAUGGAACUUUUCUUAAGCACUUCUGAGAUGUACCUUGUAAAGUAGGGAGUAGUAGUUGUAAAAGUGCUAAGUUGCCAGAUUUUAUUCUUGGUGAUAUUUAAAUAUCAACUUCAUUCUUUUCCUGUAAUAAAUAGGAUGGUAAUGUUGACGCUCUUCAACUUUUCUGUUUCAGUUGGAGGCAUUGUCUUUCUUUGUGUUGGAUGAGGCUGAUAGGAUGAUAGAAAAUGGACACUUUCGUGAGUUGCAGUCCAUUAUAGAUAUGCUUCCUGUGACCAAUGGUUCUGCAGAAAAUUUACAAAAUGCAGAGAACUCUUUGACCACUCCAAUUUCUCAAAGAAAGAAAAGGCAAACACUUGUGUUUUCUGCUACAUUGUCACUAUCUUCUGAUUUCCGUAAGAAACUAAAGCGUGUAUCAUCCAAACCUAACCAAUCGGGAAUGGAUGGUUUGAAUUCUAUAGAAGCUCUAUCUGAGAGAGCUGGAAUAAGACCUAAUGUUGCUGUUAUAAAUCUGACAAACACAUCAGUUUUGGCAAAUAAUCUUGAAGAAUCAUUUAUAGAGUAUGCACCUUUUCAUCUUAUAUCUAACAUUUUGUAUUUCUUUUGUUUAUUAUUGUUGUUGUUAUUGUUAUUAAACAAUGGGGAGAGAGAAAAAAAAAUUCAAAACAGCAAAUACAUCGAAAAUGUAACUCUUUUGUUAUUUCUAUUGGAUGUUUAAUUUAUAUCAUAUAAUUGCACAAGGAAUAUUCAAUAUGUUUGCCAACUGAGUAUAUGUUUUUGUAUGGACUCUGUAAAUGAUGUAUUGUGAUUGAGGAAGGCCAAUCCCAUUUACAUCUUUUUGUAGUAGGGCAGCUCAAAAUUUUACAUCAUUUCUAAGCUUUUUAACAACAUUGAUUUCCAGUCGAAGUACCUGUACAUGUCCGUACACCUUAUUAGAUUAUGGUCUACAUGACUUGGUUUUUUAUCUUUUAGCUAGUAUUGCAUAAUGUAUGGUACAGCUUUCCUAGUAAUCGACAUCCAUCUCUUAUCUCCUUUUUGUCCACAAGCUACAAUCAGCUGCAUGGGUAGUUGGCGUCCAUGCUUCCUAAUUUUGUUAACAGAUUAUAAUAUGAUUAAUUGGACCUUUUUUGUGCUAACAGAUAUUAUGCGUUUGGUAUGACAUACCAUCAACUAUGCUUGUGCCUGUCUUUUUGUGUUUUCUUUGCAUGAGUAAUCUUUCUCCAGUGUGUUCGAAUCAUUACUAAAUCAUGACCUACUUGCAGAUGCAGGGAAGAAGACAAAGAUGCUUAUUUGUAUUACAUUCUGUCUGUUUAUGGACAAGGCCGCACUAUUGUGUUUUGUACAUCCAUAGCUGCAUUACGGCAUAUUGCUGCUUUAUUAUCCAUUGUUGGCGUUAACGUCUUGACUCUUCAUGCUCAAAGGCAGCAGCGAGCACGCUUGAAGGUUAGCUUACUAUUUAGACAGCUCGUAUCUGUCAUACAGUCCUUUCAUAUGUGGGGGUGCUGAGUUGGGCAAGAACUCAUGCUAUCUUUUCUUUGAAAAGGAUACGAGACUCAUUAUUAUUAAUAUUGAGAAAUAAAGAGAACCCUUAAUGUACAUGAGAGUUAUAUAAAGAGCAAUGGGGGAGGGAGGAUCAGCAGUCGCACUUGGACAUCUCAACUAGGUUGACACCCCCUUAGCGCCCUCAUCACAUCCAAAAAGUGACAAUACAAGAUCAAACAAAAAACCACAAAAACAAAGCCAAACAAAAUGGUAAAAUAAUCUGGCCAAAGCAAAAUCAUAAAUCAUAGGCAGCAAGCCUAGAACAAAGAAGAAUAAGCCUUGAUUGAUUGAUCAAAAAACUGUUUGAAGCAGAGGGCUGAUCCGGAAGUCCUGAUGAUCAAGGACUUAAGGUGGGGAGAUUAUAAAAGCUGGCCAAUUUAACGCAGCAUCCUGCAAAGAGUAAUCCUGAAAAUCUUUGGAUAGAGAACACCAUGAAGAUGCAUUCAAGAGACUAAAAUGAGUUUGUAGCUCUGAUGAAGCACCAUGAAGAUGCUUUUGUUUAUUUCAACCAAUACAUUAUAGUGUGUAGCUCUAAUAGCAUUAGAUCAAAUUACCUUAGUUUUCCUAUUUAAGAAAAAUUGUACUUGUGCAAAAUAAAAGAAGAAAUUUGAUACAACACUGGUGCUUCAUUAGAACUACAAACUCAGAGACUUCCUAUUUUUUUUCACCCCAGGCAAUUGAUCGUUUCCGUGGAAGUCAAAAUGGGAUACUGAUUGCCACUGAUGUUGCGGCUAGAGGCCUCGAUAUUCCCGGUGUUCGAACUGUUGUCCACUAUCAACUACCACAUUCAGCUGAGGUUAGUAAGAUACAGUUUGCCUUGUUUGAACCUUUUCUGUGCAACUGUUACUAAAUGUCUAAUUUGAAAGUAGGUUUAUGUUCAUAGAAGUGGAAGAACAGCCAGAGCUUCUGCCGAUGGUUGCAGUAUCGCGUUGGUCUCAGCCAAUGAAACUUCCAAAUUUGCAUCUCUGUGCAAAUCAUUCUCUAAGGUAGCAAAUCUAUAAUCAUGUAAAAAGCGGUAGCAGAUCUAGAAAGAUUAUUUAUUGUUCCUACCAUGUGGAUUCGCCAUACUAUUGUUUUUGUUUUCUUUUCUCUAUCUGACUUGUGUUUUAAAGAAAUAGUAGCUGCCAAUAUGAGGCUCUUUAACUUGUAUAGUCUUUUUGGAUAUAUCAGCAAUAGCUGCGAUGUCUUUUGAGCAAUCUUCCUUAUACAUGCUUCAUUUGUUUCUGUUCCGAUAGGAAAGCUUCCAGCGAUUUCCUGUUGAUAAUUCAUACAUGCCAGAGGUUCUAAAACGUUUGUCUCUUGCACGCCAGAUUGACAAGAUUGUGCGGAAGGAGUCCCAGGUAAACAUAGGCAUAAUUCCAUGCCUAUAUAUUGCUUACACAUGGAAAUUUGUGUCCUGGAACGGCACUUCCUAGUUCCUUUUUGUGCUCCUGCUAAUUGGUGUAAUUGGCUGUGAUUUGUUUCUGCUUAUUACCAUAGUUCUAAUCCUAGAGUUACACAUGUUCAUUUGGUUUUUUGGUUGUUAUGAGUUUAAAGCUAUGUUGCUGAUUUCUAGGAGAAGGCAAGUAAAACUUGGUUUGAGCGGAAUGCAGAGUUAGUGGAAUUAGUUGUGGACAACGAUGACAGUGAAGAGGAGAGAGCAAACAAUUAUAAGCAGAAGAAAGUUGGCUGCAUCCAGUUAAAGAAACUGCAGCAGGUACUAGCCGCAAUGGCUAAUUUUUGAAAAAAAUUAGGUGAUAUGGUGGCUAUGUUAAAUUCCACUGGUAUUAUCUUCCUUCCUUUUAUAACUUAUUACUAAUUGCAGGAGCUCGACAAGCUGCUUUCCCACCCUCUGCAACCAAAAUCAUUUUCACACCGAUAUUUGGCUGGUGUAAGUACUACUAUUAAUUGUUAGAUGUUCCGUUCAUAAGUUUUCCCCAUUGCUUCUCAUAAAUUUUCUGGAUUAAGGAUUAUCUUUUUGUGAAAUGUUGUAAUAUGAUAAAAUAUUUUGCAUCAAGAGAAAAAGUUCCUCUAUGUAAAGAAAGGAAGUGGGAGAAAGAAAAUAACCGCUGUCUUUGCUAUUCAAACAACAGCUUAUCAUCAAAUAUUUUGAUCAUGAUUUACCCUGCUUUUGUUGGUUUUCUUGAAAUAUCCUUUUCUUUUUACCCGUGCUAAUGUACCUGUUUCCCCAGUCAAUGGGUGCAUGGGUUUGAAUAAUCUCUGGUUUUCAGCUAUUGGUUAUUCAUAGUAAAUUACUAAUUACACAAUGACUGUAUUCCCUCCUUGCUUGUCAGGCUGGGGUUUCACCUCUUCUGCAACAUCAAUUUGAAGAACUGGCCAAGCAGAACACUUCUGUUCAGACUAUGGGAGAUAACAAAAGGAGGAAGUUGGCUGCUUUUGGUCAAGAUCUUACAGAACCACUUCAAGCACUUCGAACUGGUGGUCAACAGGUAUCAAGCACUUUCUACUUUCAUUGAAAAUCAGUUUUCUUGUCUAAAUGGUUUGUAGGGUAAUUGAAUGAUGAAUCAUCCAUUUAGUCAAAAUUUCAACUAUUUAUCUGUAAGACCCCUAGUUAGGAAAGAAUAGGAUUAUUAGUAUGGUUACUAGAAUGGGCAUAUUAGUAGUUUGAUAGUACGUUGGUUAUAAAUAGUAGGAGGGGUGGUGGGGAAAAGUAUGAAGAAUUCUGUAGUGGAAUUUCCUUGAGUGGGAUUUUUUUUUUUUUUUUUUUGAUAAGAAACAAGUGUAUUCAUAUAACAAAAAAGAACAACCUAAGGGCAAGGGACAAGAGGGCCCUUCCCGGAAGAAACUAAGAAACUAAGAAAUGAUAGCCUUUCAAUUGUUGAAAAUCAUUGAAAGGCUAUAAUUACAAAAGUGUUUGGUGUAAUUCGUACUCCACCAAGAAGCUGUGUAUUGCAACACAGUCCAAAAAGAAUCAAAAGAAUUAUAGCUAUCUUCAAAGAUUCUACUAUUCCUUUCUUUUCAAAUACACCACAAAAGGGACCGAGUCGCACAUUUCCAUAAGAUGUUUCUUUUUGGGCUAUAACCUCUAAUGUUGAGUCCUUCAAUCAUUCAGCCAUCAAUCUUACUAGGGAGACAAAGCUCCAAUUCAAAAAUCCUAAACAAAGUGUUCCAAGCUUUUUUAGUAAAGAGACAAGUGUAGAAAUAGAUGGUCCAAAGUUUCCUCUUCUUUGAAGCAGAGACAACACAUCAAGGGACUAAGCAAGGUGUUCUGAACUUUUUUUUUUGUAGCUUCUCAUGAGUGUUAAGGCUUCUGUAAGCGAGCGACCAUAAGAAAAACUUCACCUUCUUUGGAAUUUUAUUCUUCCAAAUAUGACGAAUCAAAGGAACAACAAUGGAGGGGAUCUCUUGGUUAAGUUGAGAAAGGUGGACUUUGUAGUAAAGUUGCCAUUAACGUUAGGAGUUUAUUUAAGACUAUCAUUCCCUUCGGUGGGGGCCCAAGAAUGAAGAAUUUCUAAAACUGAGGCCACAUUGGUAAUCUCGUUAUCGAGCAUAUUUCUUCUAAGGCCCAAAUUCCACGAAUGAGUAGCAGUACACCAACAUUCAGCCGCGUAAAUAUCCUUAUUCAACGACACAGAGAAUAAGUUGGGAAUUUUUUUGCAAGUGGGUUCCGCCAGAGGACCAGCAAGCAAAAACCCAGCCAGACGACCAGCAGAAAACCAAAAACAAUAGUCCAACAGAGAGGAAACCCAACAAGCAAAAAAACAAUAUCUAGAAGAGACCAAUCCAGGAUCCAAUUCAGAACAGCCCAAACAAAACACAGGUGCAGAAGCAGAAAAAAUAUCCAUGCAGAACACAAGCUAGCAACCAACAACCAACCAAAAAUAUAAAGUUGAACAAAUCAAGAAAUCACUACACCCAACCAGCCAUUCUAAAACCAGCACCAACCAACAUUGAGGUGGAGACGGAAAGACGGCGAGACGGAUGAUAGACAUCCGGGAAAACAUCAAAGGUUAGAAAGAUAAGAAGAAUCAUUAUAGAGAGCAUCGUUUGAGGAAAGAAAAAGUGGAGACUCUGUUCAACAGUGGUGGAUGGCUAGAUUCACCAAUGGAAGUUGACAGAUGGGAUUGCCGAGGAAGGAUAAAAUGGAUGGCAAUGAGGAAAAUGGAACUGGAAAACGUAAAGGGCGGUGUACAGAUGGAGAUGGAGACGGUGCUGGCAGCUUAUGGCUCGGAAUGGCAAAGAGGUCAGCAGACGGAGAAAAGACGGUUGAGAUUUGCAAAGGGAGUUGGCAUACAGAGUACGGAGAAGAUGAUUUGCAAAAGAGAAAAAAUUGCGUGAGGAGGGAGAGAUAAGGGCUGCCCACGUGAAAUAGGGGGGUAUUAAUUCAAUUUGGGCUUCGGCCUGAAAUCACUAAAAAGGGUUGAAACCCAUUAUUUUGUGCAGAUGCAAACUGAAGGGGUGGGUUGCAACACGUGAAAAUGGGAAGGAUUGGAAGGAAGAAAAAGGAGGCUGGAGGUGGGAUUAUGGUAUGGAAAAUGUAGCAGCAUGAUUCUGGGCUUGAUUGUGGGCUGGAAUUGUUUAAAGCUCAUUGCUACUUUCAAAGAAGAUAAAGGAGUAUGGGCCCAAAAGAUUGACUUGAUUUUGGAGCAACCAAUGGAUUAUAGGCCUAGCCCAUUUGGGUAGAAUAGCCAAUUUGAAGAACACUUCCAGUGUGGUGGAGAUAGGCUCGUGGAAAUAUUGUGGAGUCCUUGGGUGCUUAUUGGGCUGAAUCCAAGUGAACUGAUUGAAGCUCAAGUGUUCCCAAAGCUGAAGAGGGUGACACUGUGUCAUUGUGUUUUGUAAUCAUACCUUGAGGACAAGGUGUCUUCACGGAGUAUCGUAAGGCCCCUAGUUAUGUUAGAAUAAGAUUAUUAGUAUGGUUAUUAGAAUGGGCAUAUUAGUAAUUUGAUAGUAAGUUGGUUAGGGCUUUUUAGUAAUAAAUAGUAGGAGCGGGGUUGGGGAAAGGUAUGAAGAAUUUUGUACCGGAAUUUUCUUGAGUGGGAAUUCAGGAGAGUCUGGCCAUCUUGAAAGGCUAGGGGUUACUCAUUCUUAUGAUAUUAUAGCUUAUAUUUCAAUAUAUUUUUCAUAUUUGAUUGUUCUUGAGUUGUGUGUUCUUGAGUAUCUCUUGUUAGGUUAGGAUCCUAACAGUAUCCUUCUUUGACAGGUACAUAUGAAUGCAAAAGAGAUGGCUGAAAAACGGAGGAAAAUGGAGAACGUCAAGAAAAAGAAAAAAGAGGAGAAAAAACGUAAGCUACUAAAAUCUUUAUUGAAUGGGACUCUUUUUUCAAAAUUCUUCCUCUCAACUAUCAUAAAAUAUUAAGUAAUGUCAAGAAAUGAGUGGUCAAUUAGAAACCAAAAAUACCAAAACAUUCUAGAUAUCAUAUGCAAGCAGCCUCGUCAAAAAGUACAUUCUUUUAAAAGCAAAACGAGAUGGAAAAUAUAAAGAUAACAGAAACGCUGAGACAUAAAUAAUGUGAUUAUCUUACUAAAACAUAAAAUAUAACCCAUAUUUAUAUUGAAUGGGACUCUUUGGUGGUUUUCGAAUUGUCAUCUUUAUAAUUUCCAGUUCUAAAGAACUGUAGAACGUUGGAAAUCUGCU